This is a non-coding RNA of Paramuricea clavata, 2437 nucleotides long. Lineage: Eukaryota; Metazoa; Cnidaria; Anthozoa; Malacalcyonacea; Plexauridae. The record is from the annotation of a GenBank genome assembly.
UUUUAGCCCAGAAAAAGGGCACUUUUUUCACUUUUAAGAAAAGUGGGGGGGCACAUGCCCCCAUUGCCCCCCCGGUUCCGCGGCCCCUGCAGCAGAUGCUUUAUCCAGUCUUAUUUCAGAUCAGUGGUUCGAAUAUACUUAACUUUGAACGUUUAGCUUCACGAUCCUGUUGGUGUGGAGUAUUAGAGAGUUUAUGCUUCGCGUUAUACGUCAAACGGCAAACGCCAGGCAAAGAAAAUUUUUACGAUAUCAGGUAAUAAAGAGCAAAUUAGCUUGAUGUUUUAAAACUGAAAUACAUAAUUAUUCUUUCGACACAAGAUAGAAAAUAUGAAACGAAAACGUUCAACAAAAAUUUUGGCAAGAAAAUUCAAACCUGCCGUUUGAAUUGCCGUUCCCGGAAACAUGAAGCUUAUUUAGCUAUUUAAGUAACUCUUUAUUCUUAUUCAUUUACGUGGGAGAGGCGGCGCACUGCAUGAUUGUGUUUAAGUGUUUUCCACAGUAUAAACUGAAUUUAUCAUACGGUACCUCGAUCUACUUUCCAUUAUUCUUGAUUGGUUAGUGGAGCAGUGGAGAGGAUGGUGCGUUGUAAAUAUAUGUUGUGAAUUUCUCUGUGAACUUUUUACUGUAUACUGUAGUUCAUGUAAAGUAAUUUAACAUCAUUUUGUAAAAAUGUUGGGUUUUUUUUUUUCAUAAUUUAAUCCAAAUUUUCACCGUAUUUUGCUGAAAAUAUGGCAAUUUCUAUUCGAAAUUUAUAUAAAAAAUUCGAUCAGAACGCAGGAAAUCGCAUUUCCGAGGUUCUAGAUUUCCAAAUUUUGCAAAGACAUGAGGAAUUAUGCAUCUCUCAGCUAAAACCAUGGAUCCGGCCCUGUUGUAAAGGCCUAAGAACAUAUUUAUUAUCCAAAUAUGUAGUAGAUAAACCAUAAUAAGUAGACAAUAACUGUAAAUAUAAAUAUAAUUAUUUUAACUUAUACUUUUUAGAUAACAUAGAGAUAAACUUUACUUUGUAAUCUAUAGCAGUUGAAGACAUGGGCUAACCGGGGGGGAAGCCCCCCAGUUUGUUGGGCAAACAGUCGGGCAAUAUUGGCUUAUUAUAAAAAUAAAUGGGACAAAUUCUGUGUAUUUUGUGGGAAAUUCUGUCAAUUUUGUAGAAAAUAUGCUAUGUAAUAGGAAUUUUUCGUAAUCAAUCCCCCCCCCCCGUCGACAACAAUUUUGGAAAGUUUCUCCGAAAAUUUUCUUUUGACAACUCGGACACAAUCCAAAAAAAUAGGGCAAAUCUCUUUCCGCCCCCAUAAUUUUUCAAUUCCCGUACGCCCAUGGUUGAAGAGCCACUCUGUGGAUACACUGUUAUUAAAUCAUUAUUAUAUGGAAUUCUUCAGGGGUAAAGUGUUUUGAGUUUGGAAUUCUUCAGGGGUAAAGGAUUUUGAGCUUGGAAUUCUUCAGGGGUAAAGUGUUUUGAGUUUGGAAUUCUUCAGGGUAACGUAUUUUGAGUUUGGAAUUCCUCAGGGGUAAAGUGUUUUGAGUUUGGAAUUCUUCAGGGGUAACGUGUUUUGAGUUUGGAAUUCCUCAGGGGUAAAGUGUUUUGAGUUUGGAAUUCUUCAGGGGUAACGUGUUUUGAGUUUGGAAUUCUUCAGGGGUAAAGUGUUUUGAGUUUGGAAUUCUUCAGGGGUAAAGUGUUUUGAGCUUGGAAUUCUUCAGGGGUAAAGGAUGUUUUGAGCUUGGAAUUCUUCAGGGGUAAAGUGUUUUGAGUUUGGAAUUCUUCAGGGGUAACGUGUUUUGAGUUUGGAAUUCUUCAGGGGUAAAGUGUUUUGAGUUUGGAAUUCCUCAGGGGUAAAGGAUUUUGAGCUUGGAAUUCUUCAGGGGUAAAGUGUUUUGAGUUUGGAAUUCUUCAGGGGUAAAGUGUUUUGAGUUUGGAAUUCUUCAGGGGUAAAGGAUUUUGAGCUUGGAAUUCUUCAGGGGUAAAGUGCUUUGAGCUUGGAAUUCUUCAGGGGUAAAGUGUUUUGAGUUUGGAAUUCUUCAGGGGUAAAGGAUUCGAGCUUGGAAUUCUUCAGGGGUAAAGAGGUUUGAGAUUGAAAUUUUUCAGAGUUUGGAAUUCUUCAGGGGUAAAGUGUUUUGAGUUUGGAAUUCUUCAGGGGUAAAGUGUUUUGAGUUUGGAAUUCUUCAGGGGUAAAGUGUUUUGAGUUUGGAAUUCUUCAGGGGUAAAGGAUUCGAGCUUGGAAUUCUUCAGGGGUAAAGAGGUUUGAGAUCGAAAUUUUUCAGAGUUUGGAAUUCUUCAGGGGUAAAGUGUUUUGAGUUUGGAAUUCUUCAGGGGUAGAGUGUUUUGAGCUUGGAAUUCUUCAGGGGUAAAUGAUUUUGAGCUUGGAAUUCUUCAGGGGUAUAACUAUGAAAAACAUGUAUCCUCGACAGGGGGGGUACGGAUAUUAAAUGGAAUAGCCCAUUG